RNAcentral lists this ribosomal RNA (252 nucleotides) under uncultured Bacteroidales bacterium. RNAcentral describes it as "partial 16S ribosomal RNA". It matches the Rfam family "Bacterial small subunit ribosomal RNA", at positions 524 to 776 of the family's 1533-position model. Lineage: Bacteria; Pseudomonadati; Bacteroidota; Bacteroidia; Bacteroidales. The record is from RNAcentral.
UACGGAGGAUGCGAGCGUUAUCCGGAUUUAUUGGGUUUAAAGGGUGCGCAGGCGGAAUGUCAAGUCAGCGGUAAAAGCCCGGGGCUCAACCCCGGCGAGCCGUUGAAACUGGCUGUCUUGAGAUGUCGAGAGGUAUGCGGAAUGCGUGGUGUAGCGGUGAAAUGCAUAGAUAUCACGCAGAACUCCGAUUGCGAAGGCAGCAUACCGGCGCUCAACUGACGCUGAGGCACGAAAGCGUGGGGAUCGAACAGG